CCCUUAGAUGUUCGGGGCCGCACGCGCGCUACACUGAAUGAAUCAGCGAGUGUAUGUCCUAGGCCGAAAGGUCCGGGUAACCCGUUGAACCUCAUUCGUGAUUGGGAUAGGGACUUGCAAUUGUUUCCCUUGAACGAGGAAUUCCCAGUAAGCGCAAGUCAUCAGCUUGCGUUGAUUACGUCCCUGCCCUUUGUACACACCGCCCGUCGCUACUACCGAUUGAAUGUUCCGGUGAGCUCUUCGGACUGCGCGGUCUGCAGUUUCUGCGUUCCGUGCGGAAAGUUGUGCAAACCUUAACAUUUAGAGGAAGGAGAAGUCGUAACA
This 324-nucleotide ribosomal RNA is filed under the name uncultured eukaryote. RNAcentral describes it as "partial 18S ribosomal RNA". It matches the Rfam family "Eukaryotic small subunit ribosomal RNA", at positions 1470 to 1796 of the family's 1831-position model. The record is from RNAcentral.